CCCCCCAGGUCCCCCCAUUGCCCCCAGUCCCCCCAACGCCCCCAUUCUCCCCACAGGUCAUCACCUUCAGCACCAGCCCUGCCCCCACCGCCACCUCCCCCGUCACCACCACCGUCCCCAGCGUCCAACCCGUGGUCAAACUGGUGUCUGCAGCCCCCACGGCCCCCAGUGCCACCGUCACGGGCAGCGUCCAGAAGUACAUCGUGGUGUCCCUUCCUCCCACCAGCGGUGACCCCAAACCCAACCCCACGAUCCCCACCACCCCGGGACCUCAGCUGUCCCCAUCCUCCGCCACCGCGUCCCCCGCGGCCACCGCCGUCACCACCCCCAAAUCAGAACCUGGGGACAGCCCCCAGCCUCCCCCCGGCCCCACUGGGGGGCCCUUUGGGAAGGCCAACGGGGCCGGCGUGGCACAGAGUCCCCAAUCCGCCCAGUGAGGGGCCCAUGGUGACCCCACGUGUCACCAAAAGUCAUUGGGGGAGUGGGGAGGGGGUCACUGUGGGGUCGUCUUGGGGUCCCUGAUGUCCCCAGGGGUCUCUGUGGGGACGUUAUGGGGUGGCCUGGGGUCCCAGGGGUCUCUAUGGGGAUGUUAAGGGUGGUCUUGGGGUCCCUGAUGUCCCCAGGGGUCUCUGUGGGGACAUUAUGGGGUGGCCUGGGGUCCCAGGUGUCUCCAAGUGCCUCCAGGGGGUCUUUAUGGGGACGGGGGGGGGGCGGCCUUGGGGUCCUUGAUGUCCCCAGGGGUCUCUGUGGGGACGUUAUGGGGUGGCCUGGGGUCCCCAGUGUCACCAAGUGCCUCCAGGGGGUCUUUAUGGGGACAUGGGGGUGACCUUGGGGACCCUGAUGUCCCCAGGGGUCUCUAUGGGGACAUUAUAGGGUGGCCUUGGGGUCUCUGAUGUCCCCACGUGUUUCUAUGGGGUCGUUAUGGGGUGAUCCAGGGAUCCUAAAGAGUCCCCAAAUGUUGUGGGGUCUCUGUGGGGUCAUUAUGGGAUGCCCCACCCCCCCUCCCCCCACAUAGCACGGUUGUGGGGCGACCCUGAGGGGUGGGGGGGUCUCCUUCUAUGUACAAAGCUGUAAAUAAUCCCAAUAAACGCUCCCAGUUCCUCCCA
RNAcentral lists this long non-coding RNA (1106 nucleotides) under Phasianus colchicus (ring-necked pheasant). Its description in RNAcentral is "lncRNA (ENSPCLG00000020290.1)". The record is from RNAcentral. Lineage: Eukaryota; Metazoa; Chordata; Aves; Galliformes; Phasianidae.